This 76-nucleotide transfer RNA is filed under the name Lewinella sp. 4G2. RNAcentral's name for it is "tRNA-Trp". It matches the Rfam family "tRNA". From Rfam's summary of the family: Transfer RNA (tRNA) molecules are approximately 80 nucleotides in length. Their secondary structure includes four short double-helical elements and three loops (D, anti-codon, and T loops). Lineage: Bacteria; Pseudomonadati; Bacteroidota; Saprospiria; Saprospirales; Lewinellaceae. The record is from RNAcentral.
ACGGGCGUAGCUCAAUUGGUAGAGCACUGGUCUCCAAAACCAGCGGCUGGGAGUUCGAGUCUCUCCGCCCGUGCAA